UAGGGAAUCUUCCACAAUGGACGAAAGUCUGAUGGAGCAACGCCGCGUGAGUGAAGAAGGUUUUCGGAUCGUAAAGCUCUGUUGUUGGUGAAGAAGGAUAGAGGCAGUAACUGGUCUUUAUUUGACGGUAAUCAACCAGAAAGUCACGGCUAACUACGUGCCAGCAGCCGCGGUAAUACGUAGGUGGCAAGCGUUGUCCGGAUUUAUUGGGCGUAAAGCGAGCGCAGGCGGAAUGAUAAGUCUGAUGUGAAAGCCCACGGCUCAACCGUGGAACUGCAUCGGAAACUGUCAUUCUUGAGUGCAGAAGAGGAGAGUGGAACUCCAUGUGUAGCGGUGGAAUGCGUAGAUAUAUGGAAGAACACCAGUGGCGAAGGCGGCUCUCUGGUCUGCAACUGACGCUGAGGCUCGAAAGCAUGGGUAGCGAACAGGAUUAGAUACC
Molecule: ribosomal RNA, 439 nt
Filed under: uncultured bacterium
Lineage: Bacteria
Description: partial 16S ribosomal RNA
Rfam family: Bacterial small subunit ribosomal RNA
Source: RNAcentral